Podarcis raffonei (Aeolian wall lizard) is the source of this 1314-nucleotide long non-coding RNA. RefSeq lists it as uncharacterized. The transcript is spliced from 2 exons. The record is from RefSeq and is a predicted model, not a curated record. NCBI's taxonomy places the organism in Eukaryota, Metazoa, Chordata, Lepidosauria, Squamata, Lacertidae.
UCUGCAACCUCCCUUUCUUCUUUUAGCACACCUUUGACCCCCCUUGUUGUUCAAAAUCUACAUGCCUCCUUUGCUGGUCUCCUGCUGCUAAUGUAUUAAAAAAAAUUUUUGUUGGUGGUCCUUGUGCUUUUAGCAACGUGCUCAAUUUCUUUGUUUCUGUAUCUCUUAUUGUCUGUUUGCAUUUCUUCUGCUGAAGUUUGUGUUCCUUUUGGUUCUUAUUUGGACAAGACUUCUAUUUUCUGAAGGAAUCCUUUUCUUACCUCAUCUAAUAGCUUUUUUUGACUUUGGUUGUUAAUCACGUUGGUGUUCUCUUGGCCUUCAUGGUAACUUCCAUGGGCUGCGGUGUGCAUUCUAGCCAUGUUUCUAAUAUCUUGGUUUUAUAACCCUCCCCCCAAUAAUUUUGGAGAGGCUUAACCCUUUUGACUUUGUCUUGAAAGUUCCUUUUUACCAGUCCCCUCAUUUUUUGCAAGUUUCCUCCUUUGAAGUAAAAUGUGACCAUGUUGUAUUUUCUUGGCCAUUGCCUAUUUACAUAUAUGCUGAACUGGAUAGUACUGUGCUCACUGUUCCCAGUGAGUUUAACAACACUUACGUCUUGCACCUGGGCACCACUUAAAAGCAAGUCCAGGGUUGCUGCCUUUCUGGUUCCUUGAGCUGCUGUUUUGAAAGAUUGCCUCCUUCCCUACAGACCUUCAGGUGUUAUUAAGAUCAGCAGAGGGAGUCCUCUUGGUCGUUCCACUGCACUCAGAAGCUUGUGUGUCAUGGCCCAGCUGAAGACAUCAUCUGUGGCUGUCCUAAAGUUUAGGAGUCUCCUCCCUACAAAAGCUUACCAGGAAGCCGAGCUGCGCAUAAGCCAGAGUCAGGAUUGUGAAGGCCAGCCCUGCAGCAAAAAGCUCCUUCGUAGACCUCUGCAAAGUCUUGCCAAAAGUGGACCAUUGGCGGAUGAAGCGCAGCUGUUGGGAAGCCUGUAGGGAAGGAAGAUGAGAACAGAAGCCUGUUUAAAGCACUUGGCACCCCAUGAACUGGCCCCUUUGCAGAUCAGUCUGAAGGGCCAUUUUGGGGGAUGGCGGGGGUGUCUGCUGACACCUGCUCUGUCUCUCUGGGCACCAGAUGAAGACCUUUGUAUUUUCCCAGACUGUUAAAUCUCCAAAGGAAUUCUUUUCUCAAUACUGUUGUUUUUAAAGGUUUCUUCUUUUUAAAAUCACACUCUAAGCUGCUCUGGAAAUGUUUUGCCUUGAAGGCUUGAAAUAAAUAAAUCCAUGCUCCUCUCUGAAAGGGACCACAACUCCUUCUCCUGACAGGACAGCAAAACUCCUA